RNAcentral lists this ribosomal RNA (471 nucleotides) under uncultured archaeon. Its description in RNAcentral is "bacterial SSU rRNA". It matches the Rfam family "Archaeal small subunit ribosomal RNA", at positions 390 to 862 of the family's 1478-position model. The record is from RNAcentral.
UGGGGUAAGACCCAUGCUUUUCUAGACUCUAAAAAGGUCUUGGAAUAAGAGGUGGGUAAGGACGGUGCCAGCCGCCGCGGUAAUACCGGCGCCUCAAGUGGUAGUCGCUUUUAUUGGGCCUAAAACGUCCGUAGCCGGUCUGAUACAUUCGUGGGUAAAUCAACCAGCUUAACUGGUUGAAUUCUGCGAGGACGGCCAGACUUGGGACCGGGAGAGGUGUGGGGUACGCUCAGGGUAGGGGUAAAAUCCUGUCAUCCUGAGCGGACCACCUGUUGCGAAGGCGCCACACUAGAACGGAUCCGACGGUCAGGGACGAAGCCUAGGGGCACGAACCGGAUUAGAUACCCGGGUAGUCCUAGGUGUAAACGCUGUGGACUUGAUGUUGGGGGUGCUCCGAGCACUCUCAGUGUCGAAGCGAAGGUGAUAAGUCCACUGCCUGGGAAGUACGGUCGCAAGGCUGAAACUUAAAGG